RNAcentral lists this ribosomal RNA (357 nucleotides) under Triticum aestivum (bread wheat). RNAcentral describes it as "partial small subunit ribosomal RNA". The record is from RNAcentral. Lineage: Eukaryota; Viridiplantae; Streptophyta; Magnoliopsida; Poales; Poaceae.
AUGUGGAUCAAUCCGGCUUUAUCAAAGGACGGUGUAUCUCGGAAAACUUCAUUCUCGCAGCUGAUAUUGUGCAAAGCUUGCCACAAAAGAAAAUGCCCGGCCUUAGUCUUAAAAUUGGAUUUUAGGAAAGCCUUUGACUCUGUCUCUUGGGAGAGUCUUUAUCGUAUCCUUCAAGCCAAAGGCUUUUCAGAAACUUGGAUUCGUUGGAUUAUGAUGCUGAACGACUCUGGCCAAUCGGCUAUUCUUCUUAACGCCGUUCCUGGGAACUGGAUUCAAUGUAAAAAUGGUCUCAGACAAGGCGACCCCAUUUCACCUUACCUCUUCAUCAUUAUUGCCAAUAUCCUCCAACGCAUGAUC